This 373-nucleotide ribosomal RNA is filed under the name uncultured organism. RNAcentral describes it as "partial 16S ribosomal RNA". It matches the Rfam family "Bacterial small subunit ribosomal RNA", at positions 527 to 896 of the family's 1533-position model. The record is from RNAcentral.
GUAGGUGGCAAGCGUUGUCCGGAAUUAUUGGGCGUAAAGCGCGCGCAGGCGGUUCUUUAAGUCUGAUGUGAAAGCCCACGGCUCAACCGUGGAGGGUCAUUGGAAACUGGAGAACUUGAGUACAGAAGAGGAAAGCGGAAUUCCACGUGUAGCGGUGAAAUGCGUAGAGAUGUGGAGGAACACCGGUGGCGAAGGCGGCUUUCUGGUCUGUAACUGACGCUGAGGCGCGAAAGCGUGGGGAGCAAACAGGGAUUAGAUACCCUGGUAGUCCACGCCGUAAACGAUGAGUGCUAAGUGUUAGGGGGGUUUCCGCCCCCUUAGUGCUGCAGCUAACGCAUUAAGCACUCCGCCUGGGGAUACGGCCGCAAGGCUG